This 480-nucleotide ribosomal RNA is filed under the name uncultured soil bacterium. RNAcentral's name for it is "bacterial SSU rRNA". It matches the Rfam family "Bacterial small subunit ribosomal RNA", at positions 26 to 507 of the family's 1533-position model. The record is from RNAcentral.
AGAUUGAACGCUGGCGGCAUGCCUUACACAUGCAAGUCGAACGGCAGCACGGGGGUGACCCCUGGUGGCGAGUGGCGAACGGGUGAGUAAUAUAUCGGAACAUGCCCUGUAGCGGAGGAUAACGCGUCGAAAGAUGUGCUAAUACCGCAUACGCUCUACGGAGGAAAGCGGGGGUCGCAAGACCUCGCACUAUAGGAGUGGCCGAUAUCGGAUUAGCUAGUUGGCGGGUAAAAGCCCACCAAGGCGACGAUCCGUAGCUGGUCUGAGAGGAUGAUCAGCCACACUGGAACUGAGACACGGUCCAGACUCCUACGGGAGGCAGCAGUGGGGAAUUUUGGACAAUGGGCGCAAGCCUGAUCCAGCCAUGCCGCGUGAGUGAAGAAGGCCUUCGGUGUAAAGCUCUUUCGGCAGGAACGAAAUGGUUACGUGCUAAUACCAGGACUGAUGACGUACUGAAGAAGAAGCACGGCUAACUACGUG